GAUGAACGCUGGCGGCGUGCCUAAUACAUGCAAGUCGAGCGAGUGGAUUAAGAGCUUGCUCUUAUGAAGUUAGCGGCGGACGGGUGAGUAACACGUGGGUAACCUGCCCAUAAGACUGGGAUAACUCCGGGAAACCGGGGCUAAUACCGGAUAACAUUUUGAACCGCAUGGUUCGAAAUUGAAAGGCGGCUUCGGCUGUCACUUAUGGAUGGACACGCGUCGCAUUAGCUAGUUGGUGAGGUAACGGCUCACCAAGGCAACGAGGCGUAGCCGACCUGAGAGGGUGAUCGGCCACACUGGGACUGAGACACGGCCCAGACUCCUACGGGAGGCAGCAGUAGGGAAUCUUCCGCAAUGGACGAAAGUCUGACGGAGCAACGCCGCGUGAGUGAUGAAGGCUUUCGGGUCGUAAAACUCUGUUGUUAGGGAAGAACAAGUGCUAGUUGAAUAAGCUGGCACCUUGACGGUACCUAACCAGAAAGCCACGGCUAACUACGUGCCAGCCGCCGCAGUAA
RNAcentral lists this ribosomal RNA (515 nucleotides) under uncultured bacterium. RNAcentral's name for it is "partial 16S ribosomal RNA". It matches the Rfam family "Bacterial small subunit ribosomal RNA", at positions 28 to 523 of the family's 1533-position model. The record is from RNAcentral.